AUCAGACAUCAGGAUAUUCAUGUAGAGCUGGAAGAGGAAACCCAGAAUAUUUCACUGGUUACAGUGAACCAAAGUUUGUCUGGUCUGCAGUCCCUCAUCCAGCAGCGUCUCUCUCAGUGAGUCCUGACAGAGAGCAACACUUCAGCUCUGAGUCUUUUACUCUGAACUGUGGAAGAAACUCUGCUGAAUGGAGAGUGAGGAGGUUUUCAGAAGCAGGUGACCUGACCCAAAUACCAAACUGCGCUUCCUGGGGGAAAAUGUCUGGAUCUUCAUGCAGCGUUAAAAAUCAGUCAAAGCCUAAAUCAGUGUACUGGUGUGAGUCUGGAUCAGGACAGUUCAGCAACGCCGUCAACAUCACCUUCCACAAUAAAGGUCCUCUCCUGGUGAGCCCCAUCCAUCCUGUGACUGAAGGAGCUUCUGUCACUCUGAGCUGCAGACUGAGAGGAGAAAACAAACUUUCUAAUGUGAUUUUCUAUCACAAUGACAAACUGAUCCAAAAUGACAGCAGAGGAAAGCUGAAUAUCUCUGCUGUGUCUCAGUCAGAUGAAGGUUUAUACAAGUGUCAACAUUCAGGAGACGUUUCACCUCAGAGCUGGAUGGCUGUUAAAAGUGUUUCCAAACCUGGGAGCCCUUCAUUUCCAGUCCUGUUGGUCCUCGGUGUAGUUUGUGGAUCAGUAUUUGUUAUGCUGCUCCUGCUG
This is a long non-coding RNA of Poeciliopsis prolifica (blackstripe livebearer), 698 nucleotides long. RefSeq lists it as uncharacterized. Lineage: Eukaryota; Metazoa; Chordata; Actinopteri; Cyprinodontiformes; Poeciliidae. The transcript has 4 exons. The record is from RefSeq and is a predicted model, not a curated record.